Molecule: ribosomal RNA, 497 nt
Filed under: uncultured bacterium
Lineage: Bacteria
Description: partial 16S ribosomal RNA
Rfam family: Bacterial small subunit ribosomal RNA
Source: RNAcentral
GAUGAACGCUGGCGGCGUGCCUAAUACAUGCAAGUCGAGCGAACGGACGAGAAGCUUGCUUCUCUGAUGUUAGCGGCGGACGGGUGAGUAACACGUGGAUAACCUACCUAUAAGACUGGGAUAACUUCGGGAAACCGGAGCUAAUACCGGAUGAUAUUUUGAACCGCAUGGUUCAAAAGUGAAAGACGGUCUUGCUGUCACUUAUAGAUGGAUCCGCGCUGCAUUAGCUAGUUGGUAAGGUAACGGCUUACCAAGGCAACGAUGCAUAGCCGACCUGAGAGGGUGAUCGGCCACACUGGAACUGAGACACGGUCCAGACUCCUACGGGAGGCAGCAGUAGGGAAUCUUCCGCAAUGGGCGAAAGCCUGACGGAGCAGCGCCGCGUGAGUGAUGAAGGUCCUCGGAUCGUAAAACUCUGUUAUUAGGGAAGAACAUAUGUGUAAGUAACUGUGCACAUCUUGACGGUACCUAAUCAGAAAGCCACGGCUAACUACGUG